RNAcentral lists this ribosomal RNA (253 nucleotides) under uncultured bacterium. RNAcentral's name for it is "partial 16S ribosomal RNA". It matches the Rfam family "Bacterial small subunit ribosomal RNA", at positions 524 to 776 of the family's 1533-position model. The record is from RNAcentral.
UACGGAGGGAGCUAGCGUUGUUCGGAAUUACUGGGCGUAAAGCGCACGUAGGCGGCUUUGUAAGUUAGAGGUGAAAGCCCGGGGCUCAACCCCGGAAUUGCCUUUAAGACUGCAUCGCUUGAAUCCGGGAGAGGUGAGUGGAAUUCCGAGUGUAGAGGUGAAAUUCGUAGAUAUUCGGAAGAACACCAGAGGCGAAGGCGGCUACCUGGACAAUUGCUGACGCUCAGGCACGAAAGCGUGGGGAGCAAAAGGG